This 425-nucleotide ribosomal RNA is filed under the name uncultured bacterium. RNAcentral describes it as "partial 16S ribosomal RNA". It matches the Rfam family "Bacterial small subunit ribosomal RNA", at positions 354 to 796 of the family's 1533-position model. The record is from RNAcentral.
GUUAGGAAUAUUGGACAAUGGGCGCAAGCCUGAUCCAGCCAUGCCGCGUGAGUGAUGAAGGCCUUCGGGUUGUAAAGCUCUUUAGUCCACGAAUAUAAUGACUGUAGUGGAAGAAUAAGCCCCGGCUAACUUCGUGCCAGCAGCCGCGGUAAUACGAAGGUGGCGAGCGUUAUUCGGAAUCACUGGGCGUAAAGCGUGCGUAGGCUGUUUUGUAAGUCAGAAGUGAAAGCCCAGGGCUUAACCCUGGAAUUGCUUUUGAAACUACAAGACUCGAAUUCGGGAGAGGAUAGCGGAAUUGUCAGUGUAGCAGUGAAAUGCGUAGAUAUUGACAGGAACACCAGUGGCGCAAGCGGCUAUCUGGACCGAUAUUGACGCUGAGGCACGAAAGCGUGGGGAGCAAACAGGAUUAGAAACCCGGGUAGUCC